This 851-nucleotide long non-coding RNA is filed under the name Marmota monax (woodchuck). The record is from RNAcentral. Lineage: Eukaryota; Metazoa; Chordata; Mammalia; Rodentia; Sciuridae.
GGACUCGCUCUGCGCGCUCCCUCCUCUAGCGCACGCGCCCCUCGCGGGCCUCUUUACAAGGCAUGAGUUCUGCUCCGACCCAUCCUGAGCGCAUCUGCCUCCAGUGGAUGUGUCUUGAGAGCACCUUUCCUGAAGGGCCUUCCUCUCCUGCACCUGUCCUGUGUGCCCCUGUCCUGCCUGCGUCGACCCGCGUGGCCAUGCUCCACUUGCCCCUUCCUGCCUAGCCUUUCCUGGGCGGGCCCUCCUCGCCUGCAUCGGUUCUCCGCAGACCCGUUUUUUGUGAAUAGUCCCUUGUGGACUGCCCUUCGAGGACUUUGCCCGGGCCGGCACUCCUUGCUGCACAGGUCUCCGCAUGUACCUGUCCCGCGUGGACAUCCUUCCAUCCUUCCUGGACUCUUAUCCUGCAUGGACACUCCUUCCAUACACCUGCCCUGCUUAGGACCUUCUUGCGUGGACCAGUCCUGCAUGGACGUUAGUUGUCAGUUGUCGGGGCCUCUCUUCUGGCCCUCUGGGGAGCCGAUCUUGGUGUCCACUGUCUGCCAGGGGCCUGACCCCUGGCAUGGAGGAUCUGACCGUAAGGAAGUUUUCUGAUUCAAGAAGGAAGGAUGUCUUUUGUCCUUUUUCAAAACAUCAACUUGAGAGAAGCAAUCUAUUUUUUUUAAACAAACACAUUUUUGAAAAGAUGUAAAUUAGAACUACAUACUUUUUAAGUUUUAAAAACGUUAAUUUCGGGCUGGGGUUGUGGCUCAGAGGUAGAGCACUUGCCUAGCACAUUCGAGGCCCUGGGUUCGAUCCUCAGCACCACAUAAAAAAAUAAAUAAAGGUAUUGAAAACUACAACUAAAAAAUAAU